RNAcentral lists this ribosomal RNA (445 nucleotides) under uncultured bacterium. RNAcentral's name for it is "bacterial SSU rRNA". It matches the Rfam family "Bacterial small subunit ribosomal RNA", at positions 354 to 796 of the family's 1533-position model. The record is from RNAcentral.
GUGAGGAAUAUUGGACAAUGGCCGAGAGGCUGAUCCAGCCAUGCCGCGUGCGGGAGGACGGCCCUAUGGGUUGUAAACCGCUUUUGUUGGGGAGCAAUAAGGUCUACGUGUAGACUGAUGAGAGUACCCAGCGAAUAAGCAUCGGCUAACUCCGUGCCAGCAGCCGCGGUAAUACGGAGGAUGCGAGCGUUAUCCGGAUUUAUUGGGUUUAAAGGGUGCGUAGGCGGGUGCUUAAGCGUGAGGUGAAAGCUCGGAGCUCAACUCCGGAACUGCCUCGCGAACUGGGUGCCUUGAAUGUCCGUGCCGUGGGAGGAAUGUGUGGUGUAGCGGUGAAAUGCAUAGAGAUCACACAGAACACCGAUUGCGAAGGCAUCUCACGAACGGAUGAUUGACGCUGAGGCACGAAAGCGUGGGGAUCAAACAGGAUUAGAAACCCUAGUAGUCC